GAUGAACGCUGGCGGCGUGCUUAACACAUGCAAGUCGAACGGUGAAGGCGGAGCUUGCUCUGCUGGAUCAGUUGCGAACGGGUGAGGAACACGUGAGCAAUCUGCCCCUGACUCUGGGAUAAGCGCUGGAAACGGCGUCUAAUACUGGAUACGAGCUGCGACGGCAUCUUCAGCAGCUGGAAAGAACUUCGGUAAGGGAUGGGCUCGCGGCCUAUCAGCUUGUGGGUGAGGUAACGGCUCACCAAGGCGUCGACGGGUAGCCGGCCUGAGAGGGUGACCGGCCACACUGGGACUGAGACACGGCCCAGACUCAUACGGGAGGCAGCAGUGGGGAAUAUUGCACAAUGGGCGAAAGCCUGAUGCAGCAACGCCGCGUGAGGGACGACGGCCUUCGGGUUGUAAACCUCUUUUAGCAGGGAAGAAGCGAAAGUGACGGUACCUGCAGAAAAAGCGCCGGCUAACUACGUG
Molecule: ribosomal RNA, 468 nt
Filed under: uncultured bacterium
Lineage: Bacteria
Description: partial 16S ribosomal RNA
Rfam family: Bacterial small subunit ribosomal RNA
Source: RNAcentral